UUGAAGGGAACAAAUCACUGAGGGUACAUCUUGUCUUGUUUAUCUACAAUGUUCUUUCAGUGUCAGAAAUUUAUCAAUUUUGUGGUAACUUAAUUGUUCAUGUGGAGAUAAGAGACUGAAUUUGUGGCUUUCCUCGCUCUUGUUUUAACUAAGUGGCCUAGAUGGUAUCUCUUAGAUCGCCAGUGACCAGCUUGACGUCCCAUUUCUG
This 208-nucleotide unclassified non-coding RNA is filed under the name Hevea brasiliensis (rubber tree). Lineage: Eukaryota; Viridiplantae; Streptophyta; Magnoliopsida; Malpighiales; Euphorbiaceae. The record is from RNAcentral.